RNAcentral lists this ribosomal RNA (253 nucleotides) under uncultured bacterium. RNAcentral's name for it is "partial 16S ribosomal RNA". It matches the Rfam family "Bacterial small subunit ribosomal RNA", at positions 524 to 776 of the family's 1533-position model. The record is from RNAcentral.
UACGUAGGGUGCAAGCGUUGUCCGGAAUUAUUGGGCAUAAAGAGCUCGUAGGCGGUUUGUCGCGUCUGCUGUGAAAACUCGGGGCUUAACCCCGGGCCUGCAGUGGGUACGGGCAGACUAGAGUGCGGUAGGGGAGAUCGGAAUUCCUGGUGUAGCGGUGAAAUGCGCAGAUAUCAGGAGGAACACCGGUGGCGAAGGCGGAUCUCUGGGCCGAUACUGACGCUGAGGAGCGAAAGCGUGGGGAGCGAACAGG